Molecule: ribosomal RNA, 156 nt
Filed under: Scedosporium boydii
Lineage: Eukaryota; Fungi; Ascomycota; Sordariomycetes; Microascales; Microascaceae
Also listed under: 23 other names
Description: 5.8S ribosomal RNA
Rfam family: 5.8S ribosomal RNA
About the family: 5.8S ribosomal RNA (5.8S rRNA) is a component of the large subunit of the eukaryotic ribosome. It is transcribed by RNA polymerase I as part of the 45S precursor that also contains 18S and 28S rRNA.
Source: RNAcentral
AAAACUUUCAACAACGGAUCUCUUGGUUCUGGCAUCGAUGAAGAACGCAGCGAAAUGCGAUAAGUAAUGUGAAUUGCAGAAUUCAGUGAAUCAUCGAAUCUUUGAACGCACAUUGCGCCCGGCAGUAAUCUGCCGGGCAUGCCUGUCCGAGCGUCA